This 85-nucleotide transfer RNA is filed under the name SAR116 cluster bacterium. RNAcentral describes it as "tRNA-Leu". It matches the Rfam family "tRNA". Rfam says of the family: Transfer RNA (tRNA) molecules are approximately 80 nucleotides in length. Their secondary structure includes four short double-helical elements and three loops (D, anti-codon, and T loops). The record is from RNAcentral. Lineage: Bacteria; Pseudomonadati; Pseudomonadota; Alphaproteobacteria; Puniceispirillales (SeqCode).
GCGGGCGUGGCGGAACUGGUAGACGCGCAUGGUUUAGGUUCAUGUACUGAGAGGUGUGGGGGUUCAAGUCCCUCCGCCCGCACCA